RNAcentral lists this ribosomal RNA (356 nucleotides) under uncultured Streptococcus sp. Its description in RNAcentral is "bacterial SSU rRNA". It matches the Rfam family "Bacterial small subunit ribosomal RNA", at positions 1025 to 1382 of the family's 1533-position model. The record is from RNAcentral. Lineage: Bacteria; Bacillati; Bacillota; Bacilli; Lactobacillales; Streptococcaceae.
ACAUCGGUGACAGGUGGUGCAUGGUUGUCGUCAGCUCGUGUCGUGAGAUGUUGGGUUAAGUCCCGCAACGAGCGCAACCCCUAUUGUUAGUUGCCAUCAUUCAGUUGGGCACUCUAGCGAGACUGCCGGUAAUAAACCGGAGGAAGGUGGGGAUGACGUCAAAUCAUCAUGCCCCUUAUGACCUGGGCUACACACGUGCUACAAUGGUUGGUACAACGAGUUGCGAGUCGGUGACGGCGAGCUAACCUCUUAAAGCCAAUCUCAGUUCGGAUUGUAGGCUGCAACUCGCCUACAUGAAGUCGGAAUCGCUAGUAAUCGCGGAUCAGCACGCCGCGGUGAAUACGUUCCCGGGCCUU